AUGGGCCGAGCUCGGCGUGACCACGGCUCUGCAACGAGCAAGUCUGAUGCGGCCGAUGGAGCAAAACCGCCAACUGGAUCUUCUACAACUCAUGUGAGGCAGAGUGUUCUGUAUUCGGCCCGAAGGGGACCUCGAGGCAGAAAAGGACGACCGGUGGAGGAGCAUACAGGUGAGGUGAGCAACAGUGAGCUUGGGCAUACAAGUGCAGACCUGUCACAGUUUGAUGCCCUGACGCUGAAUACCACACCUCCUACACUUCAAUUAUCUGAUAGGGUCGAGGAGCAUUCUACCGAGGUGAGAAGCACUGGGCCUAACGGUACAGGUGCAGACCUGUCAAAAGAUGAGGGCAUUUCGCUGAAUGUCACAUCUCCUGCAUAUGAGUCAACUGAUGGGGCUGUGGUGCAUGGCAGCAACAUGGACAUCGGUGUGCCUGAUUCUAUAAUUGAGAAGCAACCAGCUGUUCAGGAAGCAUUAUCCCCGAGGUCAGAAGAAAGGCGGCGGAGAAUAAAUCAAUACCUCGCUGAACAUACAUAUAAUGACGUCUUAGAGGCCAUGGUUGCUGUGAAAAAUGGCUUCUGCAACCCACCCAAAAAGGUUUCCAACCCCAACAAGUCAUCGGAAAAGCUUUCCUUGCCUGAUUCACCACAGUCUCCGCAUCGACUGGAUACUCAAUCCUCGCAGACAAAAAUACAGUGUGGAGAAUCUACAAAACAAAUCAUUAAAAACGGGAAACUAUGGAUGGAGAAGGAAGUCAUGAAGGCUUUUAAGAAGUGCAUCAUAGAAGGGGAGGGAUUGAGAGGUGUGAAGUUUGAACUAGACGAGCUUCUGCACCAGUGUUUCAGUGUGGAGACACAUGAGAAGAUGUUCCACCACUACAACUUCACGGUGAGGAUGAAGGAAGCUGGCUCAGACAAGUGGUCAUCAACUCUCUAUUUUGCGCAAGUGAAGGAAAUGUAUGGUCGAAAGUUUUAUUUCUGCUAUCCACUGGAUCCAAAUGAAGAUGGUAUCUGUUAUGCGUGCAAGAAUCAGGGGAUGGAUGCAUUGCGGCACCCUGCCGUUCAGUGGCGGAGCUACAUAGGAAUAGUUGGGCGGGCCAGGCAAACAAGAGCAUAUUUUCUUUCAAAAUUACAAUGA
Molecule: ribosomal RNA, 1134 nt
Filed under: Triticum aestivum (bread wheat)
Lineage: Eukaryota; Viridiplantae; Streptophyta; Magnoliopsida; Poales; Poaceae
Description: partial small subunit ribosomal RNA
Source: RNAcentral